UUACCCUACGGGAGGCAGCAGUGGGGAAUAUUGCACAAUGGGGGAAACCCUGAUGCAGCAACGCCGCGUGAAGGAAGACGGUUUUCGGAUUGUAAACUUCUGUUCAUAGUGAAGAAAAAUGACGGUAGCUAAGGAGCAAGCCACGGCUAACUACGUGCCAGCAGCCGCGGUAAUACGUAGGUGGCAAGCGUUGUCCGGAAUUAAUGGGUGUAAAGGGAGCGCAGGCGGGAAGCCAAGUCAGCUGUGAAAACUACGGGCUUAACUUGUAGACUGCAGUUAAACCUGGGUUUCUUGAGCGAAGUAGG
Molecule: ribosomal RNA, 305 nt
Filed under: uncultured bacterium
Lineage: Bacteria
Description: bacterial SSU rRNA
Rfam family: Bacterial small subunit ribosomal RNA
Source: RNAcentral